RNAcentral lists this unclassified non-coding RNA (240 nucleotides) under soil metagenome. RNAcentral's name for it is "partial contains 5.8S ribosomal RNA, internal transcribed spacer 2, and large subunit ribosomal RNA". The record is from RNAcentral.
AACGCACGAGACCUGCGGACCUGCGGAAGGAUCAUUAAUGAGAAGCUGCCCCUCGUGGGUAGACCUCCCACCCUCUGCGAACUUACCUUUGUUGCUUUGGCAGGCCCGUCCUCUGGACCGCCGGCUUCGGCUGGCCCGUGCCUGCCAGAGGAUUCCAAACCCUGUCUGUCAGUGUUGUCUGAGUCUAUAUGAAAUCGUUAAAACUUUCAACAACGGAUCUCUAGAUCGGAAGAGCACACG